GAACGGUGUCUUCGGACACAGUGGCGGACGGGUGAGUAACGCGUGAGAAUCUGCCAUCAGGUCUGGGACAACCACUGGAAACGGUGGCUAAUACCGGAUGUGCCCUUCGGGGUGAAAGGUUAACUGCCUGUUGAUGAGCUCGCGUCUGAUUAGCUAGUUGGUGUGGUAAGAGCGCACCAAGGCGACGAUCAGUAGCUGGUCUGAGAGGACGAUCAGCCACACUGGGACUGAGACACGGCCCAGACUCCUACGGGAGGCAGCAGUGGGGAAUUUUCCGCAAUGGGCGAAAGCCUGACGGAGCAAUACCGCGUGAGGGAGGAAGGCUCUUGGGUCGUAAACCUCUUUUCUCAGGGAAGAACACAAUGACGGUACCUGAGGAAUAAGCAUCGGCUAACUCCGUGCCAGCAGCCGCGGUAAUACGGAGGAUGCAAGCGUUAUCCGGAAUGAUUGGGCGUAAAGCGUCCGCAGGUGGCUAUGUAAGUCUGCUGUUAAAGAGUCUAGCUCAACUAGAUAAGAGCAGUGGAAACUACAAGGCUAGAGUGCGUUCGGGGCAGAGGGAAUUCCUGGUGUAGCGGUGAAAUGCGUAGAGAUCAGGAAGAACACCGGUGGCGAAGGCGCUCUGCUAGGCCGCAACUGACACUGAGGGACGAAAGCUAGGGGAGCGAAUGGGAUUAGAUACCCCAGUAGUCCUAGCCGUAAACGAUGGAUACUAGGCGUGGCUUGUAUCGACCCGAGCCGUGCCGUAGCUAACGCGUUAAGUAUCCCGCCUGGGGAGUACGCCGGCAACGGUGAAACUCAAAGGAAUUGACGGGGGCCC
Molecule: ribosomal RNA, 817 nt
Filed under: Nostoc sp. 'Nephroma laevigatum cyanobiont' 41_Skyten_6243
Lineage: Bacteria; Bacillati; Cyanobacteriota; Cyanophyceae; Nostocales; Nostocaceae
Also listed under: 1 other name
Description: bacterial SSU rRNA
Rfam family: Bacterial small subunit ribosomal RNA
Source: RNAcentral